CCUUUUCUUCUAUCUCCUUGCUCCCCAUUCCUCCUCCUCCAAGGAUUCCGUCCACCGAGAUCUCUUCCUCGGAGAACAGCAGCUGUAGAUCAGACGGAGGUGGCGGAGGAGGAGGAGGUGGUGGUGGUGGCGGCAGGGAGGAUGAAGGCGGGAGGAAAAAACCAGAAAGAUUGGAUUUUUCCCGCGUCUUGUGCAGAUUUACCUGGGGUGGGGCUGGCGGUGGCGGUGGCGGAGAGCGAGAGACCUGCUUCCUGGAUUUCUGGGUGGGCGGCGGAGGUGGCGGCGGAGGAGGGGAGGAGGCAUUCCUCUUCGAUUGUCGUUUCACAGUAGAAGGUGGUGGUGGAGGCGGCGGCGGAGGCGGAGGAGGAGCUGGCGUCGAGUGGAUCCUCGGGUUCUUGCUC
RNAcentral lists this long non-coding RNA (401 nucleotides) under Elaeis guineensis (African oil palm). Its description in RNAcentral is "long non-coding RNA (EGUI_LNC000175)". The record is from RNAcentral. Lineage: Eukaryota; Viridiplantae; Streptophyta; Magnoliopsida; Arecales; Arecaceae.